UACGGAGGGGGCCAGCGUUGUCCGGAAUUACUGGGUGUAAAGGGCGUGUAGGCGGCUUGAAAAGUCCAGUGUGAAAACGUGCGGCUCAACUGCACGCCUGCACUGGAAACUGCCAGGCUUGAGUUCGGGAGAGGAGAGCGGAAUUCCUAGUGUAGCGGUGAAAUGCGUAGAUAUUAGGAGGAACACCGGUGGCGAAAGCGGCUCUCUGGACCGAUACUGACGCUGAGGCGCGAAAGUUAGGGAAG
Molecule: ribosomal RNA, 245 nt
Filed under: uncultured bacterium
Lineage: Bacteria
Description: partial 16S ribosomal RNA
Rfam family: Bacterial small subunit ribosomal RNA
Source: RNAcentral